GGCCGAGUGGCGGAAUUGGCAGACGCUAAGGAUUUAAAAUCCUUUGGGAGUAAUUCCCGUGCGGGUUCGAGUCCCGCCUCGGCCA
This 85-nucleotide transfer RNA is filed under the name Thermoguttaceae bacterium. Its description in RNAcentral is "tRNA-Leu". It matches the Rfam family "tRNA". From Rfam's summary of the family: Transfer RNA (tRNA) molecules are approximately 80 nucleotides in length. The record is from RNAcentral. Lineage: Bacteria; Pseudomonadati; Planctomycetota; Planctomycetia; Pirellulales; Thermoguttaceae. RNAcentral also lists the same sequence under 1 other name.